GUUUUAUUUGCUCCUAAUUUAUAGGUGAAAAUGCUAUUUUACAUGGAAACCUAUUUUGUUCCAUAAAACUAAAUAAACCAUAACCCAGAAGUGCAAUGAGACACACACAGCAUGACCACAUUAUUUCUGAAAGCUGAAGAGUUGCCAGUCUGUUGAUCUCAAACUUCAUGAACCACACAGUUCAGUUCAAAUUGUUUCCCUGAAAUUGCUUUGAGCCUCUGCCAAAGAGCCACUGAAGGACUCCGAAAAAUACAAGAACUGAAAGGGGCACAUGGCAGAUAUAAUCAUAAACUUUCAUUUCGCAGAGCAGUAAAAAAGGAGAAGAAGAACACACUGGUACUCCAACAAGUCAUAGUUUCUGCCAGAUGUUGCAAAAGUGAGUUAGAUAACUGACCUUUCUUCUGGGGCCUGUGUCAACUUUGAAUGGAGCUUUCAAUUGCACAAUAAGCAUCUGGACAGUUUUGACAUCUUUAUAACACUCUUUGAGUUCUUAAAAAGCUAC
This 502-nucleotide long non-coding RNA is filed under the name Pan paniscus (pygmy chimpanzee). RNAcentral's name for it is "lncRNA (ENSPPAG00000045296.1)". The record is from RNAcentral. Lineage: Eukaryota; Metazoa; Chordata; Mammalia; Primates; Hominidae.